This 225-nucleotide long non-coding RNA is filed under the name Malus domestica (apple). Its description in RNAcentral is "long non-coding RNA (MDOM_LNC017405)". Lineage: Eukaryota; Viridiplantae; Streptophyta; Magnoliopsida; Rosales; Rosaceae. The record is from RNAcentral.
CUUAGGAAGUUUGUUCCAAAUCAUAUUCAAGGGAAUCAUAUAGAGAAGUAUCGCAUUGGAUAGUAGACAUGAAAUAAACUAUCAUUCAAACAAUGUGAUUAAGAGUAUUGUAUUAGAGAAUGACCGUAUUGCAUUGUAGUUGUAACUGGAUAGGUUCUCUAACCAAUUCUACUUAGCUUGGGUAACCAUGACAUACUGCUAGGUGUCCCUCAUGGUUUGUGGAAG